Molecule: ribosomal RNA, 420 nt
Filed under: bacterium
Lineage: Bacteria
Description: partial 16S ribosomal RNA
Rfam family: Bacterial small subunit ribosomal RNA
Source: RNAcentral
UGGGGGAUAUUGCACAAUGGGCGAAAGCCUGAUGCAGCGACGCCGCGUGGGGGAUGAAGGCUUUCGGGUUGUAAACCUCUUUCGCUAUCGAACAAGGCCCGCUUAGGGUGGGUUGAGGGUAGGUGGAGAAGAAGCGCCGGCUAACUACGUGCCAGCAGCCGCGGUAAUACGUAGGGCGCGAGCGUUUUCCGGAAUUAUUGGGCGUAAAGGGCUUGUAGGCGGCUUGUUGCGCCUGCUGUGAAAACGCGGGGCUUAACUUCGCGCGUGAAGUGGGUACGGGCAGGCUUGAGUGUGGUAGGGGUGACUGGAAUUCCAGGUGUAGCGGUGGAAUGCGCAGAUAUCUGGAGGAACACCGAUGGCGAAGGCAGGUCACUGGGCCAUUACUGACGCUGAGGAGCGAAAGCAUGGGUAGCGAACAGG